AGAACGAACGCUGGCGGCAUGCCUAACACAUGCAAGUCGAACGUGAUCCAGGCUUCGGCCUGGUGAAAGUGGCAGACGGGUGAGUAACGCGUGGGAACCUGCCCUGUGGUAGGGAAUAACCGUGGGAAACUGCGGCUAAUACCCUAUGAGUCCUUCGGGAGAAAGAUUUAUCGCCAUAGGAGGGGCCCGCGUCGGAUUAGGUAGUUGGUGGGGUAACGGCCUACCAAGCCUUCGAUCCGUAGCUGGUCUGAGAGGAUGAUCAGCCACACUGGGACUGAGAUACGGCCCAGACUCCUACGGGAGGCAGCAGUGGGGAAUAUUGGACAAUGGGGGCAACCCUGAUCCAGCAAUGCCGCGUGGAUGAUGAAGGCCUUCGGGUUGUAAAGUCCUUUCGGCGGGGAAGAUGAUGACGGUACCCGCAGAAGAACGCCCCGGCUAACUUCGUGCCAGCAGCCGC
Molecule: ribosomal RNA, 457 nt
Filed under: uncultured bacterium
Lineage: Bacteria
Description: SSU rRNA
Rfam family: Bacterial small subunit ribosomal RNA
Source: RNAcentral